RNAcentral lists this ribosomal RNA (193 nucleotides) under uncultured bacterium. RNAcentral describes it as "partial 16S ribosomal RNA". It matches the Rfam family "Bacterial small subunit ribosomal RNA", at positions 338 to 523 of the family's 1533-position model. The record is from RNAcentral.
CCUACGGGAGGCAGCAGUGGGGAAUAUUGCACAAUGGGCGAAAGCCUGAUGCAGCCAUGCCGCGUGUGUGAAGAAGGCCCUAGGGUUGUAAAGCACUUUCAGUGGGGAGGAAAGGGAGAUUGCUAAUAUCAGUCUCCUGUGACGUUACCCACAGAAGAAGCACCGGCUAACUCCGUGCCAGCAGCCGCGGUAA